GUUUACACCACUAAAAUCUAGAAGUAAUGCAACUACUUUGUAAAGUAUUUUAUUAAUUUCAUGAUGAGAGUUGUGAGAGCUGGAAGUGAGAACGGCUUUCGCCUGGAGCAUCGAUUUUAUUAAAAUNNNNNNUUUUGUCUAGCGCGAACUAAGUAUUGAACCCUCUGAAGCAACUAAUAGCACGUCCUAGCAAUAUUUUAUUUACAUAUUAAAAAUCUAAAAAAUAUUUAUUUCUCUUAUUUUAGUUAUUCAAUUAAUCA
Molecule: long non-coding RNA, 260 nt
Filed under: Trifolium pratense (red clover)
Lineage: Eukaryota; Viridiplantae; Streptophyta; Magnoliopsida; Fabales; Fabaceae
Description: long non-coding RNA (TPRA_LNC011373)
Source: RNAcentral